ACCCGCUGAACUUAAGCAUAUCAGUAAGCGGAGGAAAAGAAACUAACAAGGAUUCCCCUAGUAACGGCGAGCGAAGCGGGAAGAGCUCAAAUUUAAAAUCUGAUAGGCCUCGCCUAUCCGAAUUGUAGUUUAAAGAGGCGUUAUCUGGCUGCUGCUUGGUGCUCAAGUCCCUUGGAAUAGGGCGUCACAGAGGGUGAGAACCCCGUCUGGGCAUUGGGCAGUGGUCUAUAUGAGGCGCUCUCUACGAGUCGGGUUGUUUGGGAAUGCAGCUCAAAAUGGGUGGUAAAUUUCAUCUAAGGCUAAAUACUGGCAAGAGACCGAUAGCGAACAAGUACCGUGAGGGAAAGAUGAAAAGCACCUUGAAAAGGGAGUUAAAUAGUGCGUGAAAUUGUUAAAAGGGAAACGAUUGAGACCAGUAUUGCUGCUGGCCGUUCAGCGGCGUGUUGGUGUAAGCCUGCGCGUUGUGUAUUCGGUCGGCGGCGAGUCAGCGUCAGUUUGGGCUUCCGGAGAGAGGUUGGAGGAAGAUGGGGUUUGCCUUCGGGCUAACCUUUUAUAGACUCUAGCUGGCACGGGAGCCUGGACUGAGGUGUGCGACUGUCGUACUCUCGGUUUGAGACCAGCCCCCAUUGCAACGGACUACACGUAGACCGGUGCUGUAAGGGAAGGAGGUAGGGCCGAGCAGGCAGUUCCAGGAUGCUGACGAAAUGGUCUUAAACGACCCGUCUUGAAACACGG
RNAcentral lists this ribosomal RNA (735 nucleotides) under uncultured fungus. RNAcentral describes it as "LSU rRNA". It matches the Rfam family "Eukaryotic large subunit ribosomal RNA", at positions 23 to 664 of the family's 3401-position model. The record is from RNAcentral. Lineage: Eukaryota; Fungi.